Molecule: ribosomal RNA, 373 nt
Filed under: uncultured bacterium
Lineage: Bacteria
Description: bacterial SSU rRNA
Rfam family: Bacterial small subunit ribosomal RNA
Source: RNAcentral
GACGAACGCUGGCGGCAUGCCUUACACAUGCAAGUCGAACGCGAAAGCGGGGCAACCCGCAAGUAGAGUGGCGAACGGGUGAGUAAUACAUCGGAACGUGUCCAGUAGCGGGGGAUAACCUCUCGAAAGAGAGGCUAAUACCGCAUACGACCUACGGGUGAAAGAGGGGGAUCGCAAGACCUCUCACUAUUGGAGCGGCCGAUGUCGGAUUAGCUAGUUGGCGGGGUAACGGCCCACCAAGGCUACGAUCCGUAGCUGGUCUGAGAGGACGACCAGCCACACUGGAACUGAGACACGGUCCAGACUCCUACGGGAGGCAGCAGUGGGGAAUUUUGGACAAUGGGCGCAAGCCUGAUCCAGCCAUGCCGCGUGA